Rattus norvegicus (Norway rat) is the source of this 454-nucleotide long non-coding RNA. RefSeq lists it as uncharacterized. NCBI's taxonomy places the organism in Eukaryota, Metazoa, Chordata, Mammalia, Rodentia, Muridae. The record is from RefSeq and is a predicted model, not a curated record.
UUGACACAGAUCAACAUGUGAGGCCUUCAUGUGUCAACAUGUUAAGAUGCUGGAACCAUGGAUGGAAGAGGCCCAGAGACCCACUCCAGUGACCGGAGGAUCACUGACCAAUCACGAAUCAAACUACCUCAGUUAUCGAGCAAUCAGAUGAAGACUUCAUAAAUUAACACUUGCCUGAUAGGAAACAACUAUUGGAUCGGUAAUUCCAUGUGGGUUGAGACUAAAUGACAGAGGAGUAGUCUAACUUCCCUGUUUGUGAACACAGAAGAUGUUCAUACAGUCAAGCAAGGAGCUUCUAAGGUAGCCUACCAAAAGGAAUUUUUAUUGUAUUUCCAUCAGGAAGGAAGAAAAUAUCCCUGCCAGAUGACAGCAGCUUACUGAAAUGAGCCUCCCCAUGCUAAACAACCCCCCUAUUCCUUUUCUGUUAUUAAAUCUUCCCUGGGUUUGCUUCUGA